CCGAGUCAUGUACUCAAAUAACCCUUCUGUGGACCUGAAUUAAACCGUUGCCUCGGCGGGGCUGGUCCCUUGCCAAACCCACGUGGUUGGGGCAGGGGUACCAGACAGUCCGGCACGCUUAAGGCGUCCGGCGCCAGCCGCUGGCCCCAAAUAAUUAAACUCUAGUAACCUUUACCUUCUGAGUUUUAAUAUUAAAAAUAAGUCA
RNAcentral lists this unclassified non-coding RNA (205 nucleotides) under soil metagenome. RNAcentral's name for it is "partial internal transcribed spacer 1". The record is from RNAcentral.